CUGACACCCGGCAGCAGUGCCAUCGUACGCCCUCGGGAGCGAGAGCCGAAUCCCACUGGGUUCCGGUAGAUGGACGGGUUGGCUGGCUGGUGGUGAUGGUGCAAGGGAUAGGUCUGUGGGAACCCCGCUGGUCUCCCAACGAUGGAGGGUGUCGAGGACUCCUUCCAAGGCGUGCCCGAUCUGGUUGAUACGGUGCUCCUGGCCUAGAAGACGCUCCUCCAUGAAGUCCACGGGUGCUCCUGCUGAUUCCAUCGAAGUGGGGUGGACCUCAUCGGACCCUUCACGAAAUACAGGAAUGACAACAGCUGGUGUCUGACGGUGACCGAUCACUUACCAAGUGGGUGGAGGUAAUACCCAUUAAGGUCAGUAAAGGAAGAGUACGUGCUUAACUCUAAAUUCCCUUCUGUAACCCAUUAAAAAGGGUGCUUGGAACCGUUUUGUAUGAUACCCAUCAAGGACGAGACUGGUGAGGCCACCUCCAAGGCAAUGGUGGACAUCUUCAACACCCACGGUUCUUCUGAGGUCAUCUUGAGUGAGCGAGGUCAUGAACGCUGGAACAAGGAUUGGUGAAUUGACCAACCAGACCCUCAAGACUGCCAUGUCUCUUGAUUGGUACCAGGAAGGGUGGGAGAACAACCUGAAGGUAAUUCUCUUUGCACACAACAGCAGCAUCCAGGCCUCCACCGAGUACGGACGGGAGCCGCAGCUGUUGACUGAGGUAAACAAUGCAAUUGUAUAUACAAUUAUUGCAUAUACUGUAGUCUUUCAAAUGUGUGAUUGACUUAGUGUUGUUGUUUGUCUAUCGCUAUUUUUGUAUAACGUACUUUCAGAUCACUGAAACCCCACCUGAUGUGGUGGAAGUUGUCGACUGAGAAGAAUGUGGAGGUUUUUGACCAGGUGAGACUGAACAUGGACAAGGCGCAGGACUAACAGAAGGAGAGCUACCGGAGCAGAAUCAGGAAGGGGACCAAGUGCUGCGACAUCCGGGUGAAUUACUUGGUUUGGAAGAAGGAUGAAAGGAAGGCGAGACCUUGGAAACCUCGCUGCUCUUUCGCUCCUAGCUGGGGUCACCAUCUGUUAAAGUGAAUAUAAAAAAUGGUUACCUCCGUGGAAGCCAACAAUCUUCUACAGUUGGAGCAGUUGGACGGUCGACCACUGAAAGCACUGACGCCCUACACUUCAGUGAAGCCCAAUAGACAAUGACCAUCGACUGUCCGAGCCCCCCAGGAGGUAUCCCAUCCACCAGAACCAGUUAGUUCGGAUCAGUCUGAUUCUUUGUGCUCUGAGUCGGAGGGGGUGAGGAGCUAGGGGUUCUGCCCAACACCCAGACGUGGAUCCACCUGAUGUCCUCCAUUACCAACCACCCUCCAACUUUUCAUUACAUCAUCUACAGCUACUGUUGUUGUCAUUAUCUGCUGAGAAAGUUUUCUUGCUCUAUCAUACUGGGCACAUAAUAUGUGAGAUACACAGAUCAACUAAAAACACUAGCACUGCAAACACUCAGAACGAAGAGAGCAGCAGUGCCUGGACUUUGCAGUCUCCCUCUUCAAGUCCCCCUUCUGAGACUGCCUGUUGAGAACAAGUGACAAGCAGAACCUCCCACCCACACAGCAACCACCUCCUCUAUAUUCCACACCAGAAUUCAGUAUUUGAGUGUACAAAAAAAUCUGUGAAAAUAAAUCAAUGACACAACUGUACCAAAAACUAUCAAAGUUUAUGUAUUAAAAUCUUAAAUAUUGCCAGGUUGGCAUUCA
Long non-coding RNA from Coregonus clupeaformis (lake whitefish), 1754 nucleotides. RefSeq lists it as uncharacterized. The record is from RefSeq and is a predicted model, not a curated record. The transcript is spliced from 7 exons. NCBI's taxonomy places the organism in Eukaryota, Metazoa, Chordata, Actinopteri, Salmoniformes, Salmonidae.